GAUGCCUCUUCCACCAGCAAAAGGGGAUCCAAAAGCAGUGACAUCAACAGAAGGGUAGCCAUGGUGAUGUUCUUUCAGUUCUAGGCAACAGACCUCCAGUUCUGAGAGAUCAAGAGACCAUCAAGCCUGCACUUCAAGUGGGGGCCAGAGAUGCAGGGAGAUCUGCAAUUCCCAAAGCAAGUUCGUGGCAGACCCAAAGCUACAACCCAGGUUUCCUGACUUCAAAGGCAAUGCCAUGUGGUGGUUAAGAGCCCUGGAGUCGGACUGUCUGGGUCCAAAGCUUAGCUCCACCAUCACUACUUGGUGACCCUGGACAAACUGCUGGAGGUCCUGCUUCUUCAUCUGUCCAAUGGGGACAACAACUCCAAUAGCCUCAGCAGGCGCUGUGGCUCACAUCUAUAAUCCUAGCACUCCCGGAGACUGAGGCAGAAGGCCUGCUUGAGUUUAGGAGUUUGAGACCAACCCAGGCAACAUGCAUCAUUGUCUGAACUGCCUUUAUAGGAGGCAAUUAAUCUCAUUCUUAAUUGGAUCAAAUGAGGAACUAUUAUUCUGCAUGCAACAGAACUCAUCAGAAUCUAAAAUCACUUCUGGCCAAAUCUAUGAGGGAGCAGGUCAGAAGUACUUUGGGAAAAGAAUCUGAGAAGCACCAAGGCACAAGCUACUGAGAAGCCAGUUAAAAGGUGGCAAGCAGAUCACGAGGUCAAGAGAUCAAGACCAUCCUGGCCAACAUGGUGAAACCAUGCCUCUACUAAAACUACAAAAGUUAGCUGGGCGUGGUGGGAGUGGCACUGAGGCAGGAGAAUUGCUUGAACCCCAGAGGUGGAGGUUGCAAUGAGCCGAGAUCGUGCUGCUGCACUCCAGCCUGGCGACAGAUCGAGACUCCGUCUCAAAAGAAAAAAAAAAGGUGUCAAGCAGUGGGUUACAGAAGUGGACGAACACUUACUGAGAGCUGGGCAUUAAAGAGCCUCUAACACUUUUAUGCGUAAGUAAAAACAAAUAAGCACAGCUGCCAGUUAUCCUGUUCAAUAGAUGUACAGCGUGUAAAGCUGGGCACAGCCAAGUCCUCCUUCCAGAAAUUAAUUCCCCAUAAAAUGUCAGCUCCACAGAGCAAGGCCCUUCAUCUGGUUCUCCCAAAAAGCCCAGCACCUAGAAUAGUGUCUGGGACACGGAUGGUACAUAUAAUAAAUGCUUGCAGAAAGAAUAACUCAGUUCUGCAGCUCUCGCUACUUAUCCUCAGAGUUUAUUCACUGGUCAACGACCAAUGGCCUGAGAAAAUCCAACCAGGGUCAUUCUUUUCAGGGAUCGAGCUGAGAAUCCCUGCAUUUUUACCUCUGGAAGAGAAGGCAAAGGAAUAAAGGCUGCACUUCUUCCCAUAGUUAAACACAGUGCCUGACUUCCAGGAGGUGCUCAUUAGAUGUCGACUGAAUCCACUACCUUUUUACCUACUUUAGCUGAGACCCCCUUAGAAAGGCAAAAACUUAAAAAAUAAUAAUAAUAAUAACAGGGUCUCUUUCUGUCACCCGAACUGGAGUGCAGUGGAGUGAUCAUAGCUCACUGUAGCUUCGACCUCCUGGGCUCAAGUGAUCCUCCCACCUCAACUUCCUGGGUAGCUGGGACCACAGGCGCAUGCUGCCAUGCACAACUCGUUUUUUAAUUUUAAUAGAGAUGGAGUCUCCCUAUGUUGCCCAGGCUGGUCUCAAACUCCUGAGCUCAAGCAAUCGUCCCACCUUGGCUUCCCGAAGUGCUAGGAUUACAAG
Callithrix jacchus (white-tufted-ear marmoset) is the source of this 1757-nucleotide long non-coding RNA. RefSeq lists it as uncharacterized. The record is from RefSeq and is a predicted model, not a curated record. NCBI's taxonomy places the organism in Eukaryota, Metazoa, Chordata, Mammalia, Primates, Cebidae.